CCUACGGGUGGCAGCAGUGGGGAAUAUUGCACAAUGGGGGAAACCCUGAUGCAGCGACGCCGCGUGAGUGAAGAAGUAUUUCGGUACGUAAAGCUCUAUCAGCAGGGAAGAAAAUGACGGUACCUGACGAAGAAGCCCCGGCUAACUACGGGCCAGCAGCCGCGGUAAUACGUAGGGGGCAAGCGUUAUCCGGAUUUACUGGGGGUAAAGGGAGCGUAGACGGCAGCGCAAGUCUGAAGUGAAAUCCCAUGGCUUAACCAUGGAACUGCUUUGGAAACUGUGCAGCUGGAGUGCAGGAGAGGUAAGCGGAAUUCCUCGUGUAGCGGUGACAUGCGUCGAUCUUCGGAGG
RNAcentral lists this ribosomal RNA (349 nucleotides) under uncultured bacterium. Its description in RNAcentral is "partial 16S ribosomal RNA". It matches the Rfam family "Bacterial small subunit ribosomal RNA", at positions 338 to 704 of the family's 1533-position model. The record is from RNAcentral.